GGUCCCGCCUGCCCAGUGACUCUUUAAACGGCCGCGGUAUCCUAACCGUGCAAAGGUAGCAUAAUCACUUGUCCCUUAAAUAGGGACUAGAAUGAACGGCUAAAUGAGAACUAAACUGUCUCUUGCGAGCUGGUCAAUGAAAUUGAUUUUCCAGUACAAAAGCUGGAAUAAACACAUAAGACGAGAAGACCCUGUGGAGCUUCAAAACCAAGUUCAACAAAUAAUGCUUCCUUGCGUUUUUAGUUGGGGCGACUUUGGAGUACAAAAAACCCUCCAAAACAUAUUAAACCAAUUAUAUCAAGAUUAACAAACCAAAAACUAUACAAGACCCAGCAAUAACCCCGUGUUUUGCCUGAUCAAUGGACCAAGUUACCCCAGGGAUAACAGCGCCAUCCCCUUAUAGAGUCCUUAUCGACAAGGGGGUUUACGACCUCGAUGUUGGAUCAGGACCCCCCAAUGGUGCAGCCGCCAUUAAAGGUUCGUUUGUUCAACGAUUAAAGUCCUA
Molecule: ribosomal RNA, 505 nt
Filed under: Darevskia rudis bischoffi
Lineage: Eukaryota; Metazoa; Chordata; Lepidosauria; Squamata; Lacertidae
Description: partial 16S ribosomal RNA
Rfam family: Bacterial large subunit ribosomal RNA
Source: RNAcentral